Molecule: ribosomal RNA, 464 nt
Filed under: Vreelandella stevensii
Lineage: Bacteria; Pseudomonadati; Pseudomonadota; Gammaproteobacteria; Oceanospirillales; Halomonadaceae
Description: partial 16S ribosomal RNA
Rfam family: Bacterial small subunit ribosomal RNA
Source: RNAcentral
CCUACGUGGUGCAGCAGUGGGGAAUAUUGGACAAUGGGCGAAAGCCUGAUCCAGCCAUGCCGCGUGUGUGAAGAAGGCCUUCGGGUUGUAAAGCACUUUCAGUGGGGAAGAAAGCCUUGGGGCUAAUACCCUCGAGGAAGGACAUCACCCACAGAAGAAGCACCGGCUAACUCCGUGCCAGUAGCCGCGGUAAUACGGAGGGUGCGAGCGUUAAUCGGAAUUACUGGGCGUAAAGCGCGCGUAGGCGGUCUGAUAAGCCGGUUGUGAAAGCCCCGGGCUCAACCUGGGAACGGCAUCCGGAACUGUCAGGCUAGAGUGCAGGAGAGGAAGGUAGAAUUCCCGGUGUAGCGGUGAAAUGCGUAGAGAUCGGGAGGAAUACCAGUGGCGAAGGCGGCCUUCUGGACUGACACUGACGCUGAGGUGCGAAAGCGUGGGUAGCAAACAGGAUUAGAUCCCCAGUAGUC